This 490-nucleotide ribosomal RNA is filed under the name uncultured bacterium. Its description in RNAcentral is "partial 16S ribosomal RNA". It matches the Rfam family "Bacterial small subunit ribosomal RNA", at positions 28 to 507 of the family's 1533-position model. The record is from RNAcentral.
GAUGAACGCUAGCGAUAGGCUUAACACAUGCAAGUCGAGGGGCAGCAUGGUCUUAGCUUGCUAAGACUGAUGGCGACCGGCGCACGGGUGCGUAACGCGUAUGCAACUUGCCUCACAGAGGGGGAUAACCCGUCGAAAGACGGACUAAUACCGCGUACACUCCAUCUUGGGCAUCCAAGGUAGAGGAAAUGAAAUUCGCUGUGAGAUAGGCAUGCGUCCCAUUAGCUAGUUGGUGAGGUAACGGCUCACCAAGGCGACGAUGGGUAGGGGAACUGAGAGGGGGAACCCCCACACUGGUACUGAGACACGGACCAGACUACUACGGGAGGCAGCAGUGAGGAAUAUUGGUCAAUGGGCGAGAGCCUGAACCAGCCAAGUCGCGUGAAGGAUGACUGUCUUAUGGAUUGUAAACUUCUUUUAUACGGGAAUAACAAGAGUCACGUAUGACUCCCUGCAUGUACCGUAUGAAUAAGCAUCGGCUAACUCCGUG